CAGUAUCACUCUGCUCUCUUUUCUGGUUGAAAAGAAAGAAAGAAAGAAAACGCAGGUAUUGCUUUUCGAAGUGCUUUGUAGGUAAUCGAGGUAAGAAAAUAUACGCAGGCAGCCUCUUACAAUUUUAUGCAGGGGCGCCGGGAGCCUCGUGACGGGCGGUGGGGGCCCCCACAAAGGCGCGGCUGGGAGCUGGCGCUCUUUGCCCCAGCAGGGACGAGGAGCGGCUGGAGAAGGGUGUUUCUUUGACCCGUUUACAGGCUCGAAACGCCGGUCUCAGUGGCUAUUGAGUUACCCACCAAGUUACCCCGGUUAGAGCUGUUUGGGGUGGCUCACGUUAUUGCGGCAAACUUUGGAGAUGACGGCUGAGUCCUCCGGGCGAACAUGUCAAGCCGAUUGUAAAUGCUGUUAUUUCCACAUCCUUCAGGGACACCAGUCCCUACGAAGACCUUGGGCGAUUUUGAAGUGCGGGCACCUCGAUUCCCCGAAUCUGUAGUGUGGCUGGUAUCGGUGUUCCCCUGGUUUAACUAGCCUGUUUGAAGGCACAGAUCAUUCAUGGGGAUGUAUAACCGAAACCAGUCCUCUCCACCGCCUGGGGAUCUUCACUUUCGCAGUCUACGACUGCCUGUGACUCCAGAAAGACAAACUGCAGAUUGGCCAAGAUGGGGAAAUUGAGGCAGAGAAGCCAAGACAUGUGCUAAAGGUCAUGCAGGCUAUGAAUGGAGCUGGAAUGUGAACGCAGGCCAUAUGACCCCAGAGCCCAUGUUCUUGAACCCUUAGAAAGACAGCAGCAACACACCUGGUGCAGCAGCUGCUUAGUUGGAGUGGCUGACAAGGUUGGCAGAGGAUCCCGUUCCUCCCGUGGAGUGGCUGCCAUGAUACUGCCUGCACUGAAGCUGCUCCUAUUUCUGAAAUAUGUAUUGUUAUUUUUUUCCCUGCAUGUUGAACAUUAUACUCUUCUGUUCUUUCGCAUUCUCUUCUUCCCUUCCGGAUGACUUCUAGGGUUUUUGUGAUUCUGUAAUUCUAAAGGAGAAAGGAUAAUAAGAAUUGUGAGGCCGGGCGCGGUGGCUCAUGCCUGUAAUCACAGCACUUUGGGAGGCCAAGGUGGGCGGAUCACUAGGUGAGGAGAUGGAGACCAUCCUGGCUAACACGGUGAAACCCCGUCUCUACUAAAAAUACAAAAAAUUAGCGGGGUGUGGUGGCGGGCGCCUGUAGUCCCAGCAACUCGGGAGGCUGAGGCAGGAGAAUGGCGUGAACCCGGGAAGCGGAGCUUGCAGUGAGCCGAGAUUGCGCCACUGCACUCCAGCCUGGGCGAAGAGGGAGACUCCAUCUUAAAAAAUUAAAAAAAAAAAUUACAGAAAAUUAGCUGGGCGCGGUGGCGGGCGCCUAUAGUCCCAGCUACUCGGGAGGCUGAGGCAGG
This 1417-nucleotide long non-coding RNA is filed under the name Homo sapiens (human). RNAcentral's name for it is "non-protein coding HAND2-AS1:41". The record is from RNAcentral. Lineage: Eukaryota; Metazoa; Chordata; Mammalia; Primates; Hominidae.